CAGGACGAACGCUGGCGGCGUGCCUAACACAUGCAAGUCGAACGGGGAUUUGUUUCGGCAGAAUCCUAGUGGCGAACGGGUGAGUAACGCGUAGGCAACCUGCCCUCCGGCCGGGGACAACACUCCGAAAGGGGUGCUAAUACCGGAUACGAAGUCUGUGCCGCAUGGUACGGAUUUGAAAGAUGGCCUCUGUUUACAAGCUAUCGCCGGGGGAUGGGCCUGCGUCCGAUUAGCUGGUUGGUGGGGUAACGGCCUACCAAGGCGACGAUCGGUAGCCGGUCUGAGAGGAUGAACGGCCACAUUGGGACUGAGACACGGCCCAGACUCCUACGGGAGGCAGCAGUGGGGAAUCUUCCGCAAUGGGCGCAAGCCUGACGGAGCAACGCCGCGUGAGUGAGGAAGUUCUUCGGAACGUAAAGCUCUGUUGUUCCUGACGAACCUCCCUUCUAUCAACAACGGAGGGGACUGACGGUAGGGAACGAGGAAGCCACGGCUAACUACGUGCCAGCCGCUGC
RNAcentral lists this ribosomal RNA (515 nucleotides) under uncultured bacterium. RNAcentral describes it as "bacterial SSU rRNA". It matches the Rfam family "Bacterial small subunit ribosomal RNA", at positions 25 to 518 of the family's 1533-position model. The record is from RNAcentral.